This 75-nucleotide transfer RNA is filed under the name Pirellulales bacterium. RNAcentral's name for it is "tRNA-Pro". It matches the Rfam family "tRNA". From Rfam's summary of the family: Transfer RNA (tRNA) molecules are approximately 80 nucleotides in length. Their secondary structure includes four short double-helical elements and three loops (D, anti-codon, and T loops). Lineage: Bacteria; Pseudomonadati; Planctomycetota; Planctomycetia; Pirellulales. The record is from RNAcentral.
CGAUGUGUGGGGUAGCCUGGAAAGAGCGCGUGCUUCGGGAGCACGAGAUCGGCGGUUCGAAUCCGCCCGCAUCGA